GUAGGUGGCAAGCGUUGUCCGGGUUUACUGGGCGUAAAGCGCGCGCAGGUGGCCCGCCAAGUCUGGGGUGAAAUCUCCCGGCUCAACCGGGAGAGGUCUCUGGAAACUGACGGGCUUGAGGAGAGCAGAGGAGAGUGGAAUUUCCGGUGUAGCGGUGAUAUGCGUAGAUAUCGGAAGGAACACCAGUGGCGAAGGCGGCUCUCUGGGCUCUUCCUGACGCUGAGGCGCGAAAGCGUGGGGAGCGAACCGGGAUUAGAUACCCGGGUAGUCCACGCUGUAAACGUUGGGCACUAGGUGUGGGAGGUAUUGACCCCCUUCCGUGCCCGAAGUUAACGCAUUAAGUGCCCCGCCUGGGGAGUACGGCCGCAAGGCUA
RNAcentral lists this ribosomal RNA (374 nucleotides) under uncultured organism. RNAcentral describes it as "partial 16S ribosomal RNA". It matches the Rfam family "Bacterial small subunit ribosomal RNA", at positions 527 to 896 of the family's 1533-position model. The record is from RNAcentral.